RNAcentral lists this ribosomal RNA (403 nucleotides) under Fusobacteriota bacterium. Its description in RNAcentral is "Fusobacteria bacterium partial 16S ribosomal RNA". It matches the Rfam family "Bacterial small subunit ribosomal RNA", at positions 355 to 776 of the family's 1533-position model. The record is from RNAcentral. Lineage: Bacteria; Fusobacteriati; Fusobacteriota.
UGGGGAAUAUUGCACAAUGGGGGAAACCCUGAUGCAGCGACGCCGCGUGAGCGAAGAAGGUUUUCGAAUCGUAAAGCCCUGUCCUAUGGGAAGAUAAUGACGGUACCAUAGGAGGAAGCCCCGGCUAACUACGUGCCAGCAGCCGCGGUAAUACGUAGGGGGCAAGCGUUGUCCGGAAUCACUGGGCGUAAAGGGUUCGCAGGCGGAAAUGCAAGUCAGUUGUGAAAGGCAGAGGCUCAACCUCUGUAAGCAAUUGAAACUGUAUUUCUUGAGAUGUGGAGAGGCAAGUGGAAUUCCUAGUGUAGCGGUGAAAUGCGUAGAUAUUAGGAGGAAUACCGGUGGCGAAGGCGACUUGCUGGACACAAACUGACGCUGAGGAACGAAAGCGUGGGUAGCAAACAGG